This 253-nucleotide ribosomal RNA is filed under the name uncultured bacterium. Its description in RNAcentral is "partial 16S ribosomal RNA". It matches the Rfam family "Bacterial small subunit ribosomal RNA", at positions 524 to 776 of the family's 1533-position model. The record is from RNAcentral.
UACAGAGGGGGCAAGCGUUGUUCGGAAUUACUGGGCGUAAAGCGCGUGUAGGCGGCUUUGCAAGUCGGGUGUGAAAACCCUCAGCUCAACUGAGGAAGUGCGCCCGAAACUGCAGAGCUUGAGUGCCGGAGAGGGUGGCGGAAUUCCCCAAGUAGAGGUGAAAUUCGUAGAUAUGGGGAGGAACACCGGUGGCGAAGGCGGCCACCUGGACGGUAACUGACGCUGAGACGCGAAAGCGUGGGGAGCAAACAGG